RNAcentral lists this small nuclear RNA (106 nucleotides) under Dasypus novemcinctus (nine-banded armadillo). The record is from RNAcentral. Lineage: Eukaryota; Metazoa; Chordata; Mammalia; Cingulata; Dasypodidae.
GUGCUUGCUUCGGGGGCACAUACACUAAAAUUAGAAUGAUACAGAGAAGGUUAGCGUGACCCCGCACAAGGAUGACAUGCAACUUCGUGAAGCGUUUCAUAUUUUU